Molecule: long non-coding RNA, 2775 nt
Filed under: Trifolium pratense (red clover)
Lineage: Eukaryota; Viridiplantae; Streptophyta; Magnoliopsida; Fabales; Fabaceae
Description: long non-coding RNA (TPRA_LNC003323)
Source: RNAcentral
UUUCUCUUUUCCUUUUUCACUUUACCUUUCUUUCAAAACUCAGACCAAACCAAGAAGGAAGGAACAAAGACAGAACGAAGAAGGGCAGACCCAUCAAUCUCCACUCCGACAACCCUCUCAUCUCCGGCGACCAUCUUCGUUCCGGCGAUCAUCUCCACUCUCUUCGUUCCCAGUUGUUUCAUUGUCUGUCCCUCUCAACUUGAACAGUGAGUUCAAUCGUUACUACUCAAUGUUCUUAUUCUUCUACUUAAUCGAUAUAAUCUUGUUGUCUGAAGAUGAAAAUCAACUUUGUUGUUUUUGGGAACUUGAAAUUUCAUGGGAACCGGUUGGAUUAUGCUUCUAUUGUGUUGGGGUUUAGUUACUUUUUUUGUCUUGCUUGUUGUUACUAGUUUUAGUAUCCUGUAUUUCUUUAUUGUCAUGGUUAUGUUCCUGUUUUGUUGUCUUGCAUUGUUUUAUUGUUGUGUGGUUUAAGUGAUUUUUUUCAUUUACCCAAAGUGAUUGUGUGGUUUAAGUGAUUUUGUCAUUGACAGAAAAAGAUAGAGAGAUAGAGAAGAUAAUGGUUUAAGUGAUNNNNNNNNNNNNNNNNNNNNNNNNNNNNNNNNNNNNNNNNNNNNNNNNNNNNNNNNNNNNNNNNNNNNNNNNGAUAUGGUUUGCAGGUUUUUGGUCCUUUAUCUGCAUUAUUCAUGGAAUGGUGGAAAACUUUAUAUUCUUAUGUUUUGAUUUUAAUUUAAUUCUUAUUGUGCUUGUUAGGGUUCUCUUUAAUUUCAUAUUUGAUCUUAAUUGAUGAUUUCCUUUUAAAAACAGGAUGGGUCGUGUAGAUAGCUGAAGGCUGUGUAGAUGAAGACCCCCUUAAUGUUUGUUAGUUAUUAAAUUAGUCAUUUUUUGCAUCACCCUGUUUAUGAUUAAUUGCAAAGGCAAUAGUAUAUAUUAAUGAAAUUUUAAUGAUUUAUUUUGUUCAUCAUAGGUUUAUGCCUCAUGAGAGUCAUCACUUUAUAAGCAAUUGUGAGAAUCAUCAUGCAGAUUAUGUGAUUUAAGUGUUCUGCAUAUUUUGACUAUUUGUCUCAUAAUGACAUGAAGAUAGAUACAUUUUUGUUUAUGUUUUGCAGCUUUGUUGGACUAUAGCUGUGGGAAUUAUAGUUGAGAUGAUUAUGACGUCGGUGGAGCAACUGGUUAAUCAAACUAUAUCUUAUUUGAUAAUGUGAUAGGAAUCAUUGAGAAUGUGAUAAUGUUAUUUCCUUGUGCAGGCUUGUAAUAUCUCAUUAAAGAUUGUCGACUUCCAACGCUCUAUCUUACAUGUAUUGUUAUAUGCUCAAGUUUAGCUUUUUUCAGGCUCUUGUUUAAUGCACGUCCAAACAUGAAUGCACACAUGCUUGUUUAUUUGAUGUUUCAUAAACAAGAAAAAAAUAAAUUAAGCAUGACAUUAAGAUCGACACAUUCAGAAUAAUUAUGAACUUUCUAUACUUGUAUUUAACUGUCAACAAUGAUGUUGACAUAUAACUUAAUGAAGGCAAAUACGGUGCUUCCCUCGUCAAUGUUUUAUUUUGGUGAUAUGCAUUACUAUUAGACAUAAUAUAUAUAUAUAUAUAUAUAUCUUGUCCCUUAGUUUAUCUCGAGUCACCUAUUUGUGUUCUACAUUUGUUUUGCUGAUGAAGAUUUCUUUGGAGCAGGAAGCUCUCUUUGGGAAAUUGAUACAGCUCAUCACCACUACUGUCCUCCUAUCUCACGGCAAGUGUUUUGAUCUUUAGCACAUUACUCCUUGUUUUCCUUUUCGCCAGUUCCGUGUUUGUGGAUUUUGACAUUCUUUUACUUGUACUUUUAGGUCCGCUUUGUUUCUUUAAACUGAUUUGAUUGUCAGGGCCAAAACAAGUGAUGUUGGUGAUUUUAGUGCUAGUUCUUAUGCAACAAUAGUUGGAGCAGAGGUGAAUUUCCUUUCUUUUUUUCUUUCUUUACAGUAAUCUGUCUACAUUUUUUGCAUAAUAAGAGAAGGGUUAAAAUUUGGCUCUGAUAUCUAUGAUUUUUGUUUCCAUCAAAUAUUUAUUUUUAGUCCACACAUUUGACAGAAAUAAUGCGUUUUUUUGUAUUGUUUUUCAUGUACAAUUUCUUUUUCAAUGCAUCAAAUUUAUUCAAUGUUGCAAAUUGAUAGAUGAUUAGUUUUAUUGCACUGAUAUUAAUGCCUUGUUGUCAUAAUUUACAUGUAUACAGUCAGACAUGUAUCUAAAUUCAACACAAAUAGCAAUGCUUAUUUUAUAGUAUGGCCUCCUAAGUAUUUUAUGAAAUGAAGGUAGCAUACAAGACUUAGGUGCUUUUGAGUUUGUAUCUAUGCAAUGUAUCUUACUGCCUUUCUCAAUUCUUCCUUUGGAUCUGUCUGUUCUUAAUAAAAUAAUGGUUAAUAGCAUAAAGCAAGUUUUCUUUUUAUGUACGAAAUGUUUGGCACAAAACUAAAGUUUCUCUUGUUUUAUGUUUAUGAAAGGCCGCAAAGUUGGGUAGAGUACUCACAGUGGACGGGGUCUUUGUAAGAACUCAAACCAGUGCAUAAGAGUCAUAUUGGGUUGAACAAGAUAUAAGUUGCGGGACUCAGAAGCUGCAUAUGGUAAGGGCUCCCAAACGAUCAACACGAUCGACCCUGAGACUCAUUUUAAGUUAUGUGCCUAAUCAUCUAGGGAAAAACUGUUAUGACUACAUAUUUUGUCCACAUUGUUAGUGUCUUAUCUGUUUAUUUUGAAACUUGUAAUAGUGUCAAUUUUUGUUAACACUACACUUUAGUUUGAGUAAGUG